RNAcentral lists this ribosomal RNA (253 nucleotides) under uncultured bacterium. RNAcentral's name for it is "partial 16S ribosomal RNA". It matches the Rfam family "Bacterial small subunit ribosomal RNA", at positions 524 to 776 of the family's 1533-position model. The record is from RNAcentral.
UACGUAGGGGGCAAGCGUUAUCCGGAUUUACUGGGUGUAAAGGGGGCGUAGACGGAAUUGCAAGUCUGAUGUGAAAAUCCGGGGCCCAACCCCGGAACUGCGUUGGAAACUGUAUUUCUAGAGUGUCGGAGAGGCAAGUGGAAUUCCUGGUGUAGCGGUGAAAUGCGUAGAUAUCAGGAGGAACACCAGUGGCGAAGGCGGCUUGCUGGACGAUGACUGACGUUGAGGCUCGAAAGCGUGGGGAGCAAACAGG